UACGUAGGGUCCAAGCGUUAUCCGGAAUCACUGGGCGUAAAGAGUGCGUAGGCGGGAGUCUAAGUGAGAUAUGAAAGCGUGUGGCUCAACCAUACAACUGUAUCUCAUACUGGACACCUAGAGGACGGCAGAGGCAAGUGGAAUUACUGGUGUAGCAGUGAAAUGCGCAGAUAUCGGGAGGAACACCAAUGGCGAAGGCAGCUCGCUGGGACGGUACUGACGCUGAGACGCGAAAGCGUGGGGAGCAAACAGG
Molecule: ribosomal RNA, 253 nt
Filed under: uncultured bacterium
Lineage: Bacteria
Description: partial 16S ribosomal RNA
Rfam family: Bacterial small subunit ribosomal RNA
Source: RNAcentral